RNAcentral lists this ribosomal RNA (993 nucleotides) under metagenome. Its description in RNAcentral is "bacterial LSU rRNA". It matches the Rfam family "Bacterial large subunit ribosomal RNA", at positions 1938 to 2925 of the family's 2925-position model. The record is from RNAcentral.
AACUAUAACGGUCCUAAGGUAGCGAAAUUCCUUGUCGGGUAAGUUCCGACCUGCACGAAUGGCGUAACGAGGGCCACACUGUCUCCACCCGAGACUCAGUGAAAUUGAAAUUGCUGUUAAGAUGCAGUAUACCCGCGGCCAGACGGAAAGACCCCGUGCACCUUUACUACAGCUUUGCAUUGAACUCUGAUCCUACCUGUGUAGGAUAGGUGGGAGACUUUGAAACUUUAACGCUAGUUAGAGUGGAGUCAUCCUUGAAAUACCACCCUGGUAUGGUUGGGGUUCUAACCUUGGUCCGUUAUCCGGAUUGGGGACAAUGCAUGGUGGGUAGUUUGACUGGGGCGGUCUCCUCCCAAAGAGUAACGGAGGAGCGCAAAGGUACCCUCAGCACGGUCGGACAUCGUGCAAUGAGCGCAAAGGUAAAAGGGUGCUUGACUGCGAGACUGACACGUCGAGCAGGUAGGAAACUAGGUCUUAGUGAUCCGGUGGUUCUGAGUGGAAGGACCAUCGCUCAACGGAUAAAAGGUACGCCGGGGAUAACAGGCUGAUACCGCCCAAGAGUUCACAUCGACGGCGGUGUUUGGCACCUCGAUGUCGGCUCAUCACAUCCUGGGGCUGAAGCAGGUCCCAAGGGUAUGGCUGUUCGCCAUUUAAAGUGGUACGCGAGCUGGGUUUAGAACGUCGUGAGACAGUUCGGUCCCUAUCUACCGUGGGCGUUGGAGACUUGAGGGAAGCUGUUCUUAGUACGAGAGGACCGGAAUGGACACACCUCUGGUGUUUCGGUUAUGACGCCAGUCGUAUUGCCGAGUAGCUAUGUGUGGAAAGGAUAACCGCUGAAAGCAUCUAAGCGGGAAGCCCCUCCCAAGAUUAGGUCUCCCUGACAGUUUAACUGUCCUAAAGAUCCCUCGGAGACUACGAGGUUGAUAGGCACGGUGUGGAAGAGUAGUGAUACUUGAAGCUAACGUGUACUAAUUGAUCGUGAGGCUUGACCAU